Molecule: transfer RNA, 96 nt
Filed under: Aspergillus carbonarius ITEM 5010
Lineage: Eukaryota; Fungi; Ascomycota; Eurotiomycetes; Eurotiales; Aspergillaceae
Rfam family: tRNA
About the family: Transfer RNA (tRNA) molecules are approximately 80 nucleotides in length. Their secondary structure includes four short double-helical elements and three loops (D, anti-codon, and T loops).
Source: Rfam by way of RNAcentral
GGUAAGAUGGCCGAGUGGUUAAGGCGGCUGGCUUAAGUGUUCACAUUUUGAUCCCAGCUGACGAGAGUCUCCUGGGUUCGAACCCCAGUCUUACCA